AUUUAAAUAAAUACAGCCAAAAGGCUAUUUUGUGUUAUUUGAUUGACAAACGGCUGUUUAAAUUUGUCUUUACUAAACAACAAAUAUUUAUUUAUGAAAAUGAAAUGAUCAAUGACGUUAAAACCCCGGCGUCUCCUUUAGGGGGGCGUGUCCUGUCUGCCGUCUCAAAUGUAACCCGGAAACGAACGGCGGGCGUUGAUUGGCUGAAAGACCCGGCAGUUUGCAGCCCCGCCUCCUGUCAGUGACACAUCUCUAGGAAAGAUAGUGAGAACAACAACAACAACAAACACCAGAGAGGAGGAGGAGGAAGAAGAGCGAGCAACAUGGCGGCGGGGCGGAGAACCCGACGCUCACCACGCGGCCGCCUGUAGCUCCGUGCCGGUGUAGGGGCGUCUGUCAGCGGGGAGACCGCAGGAGGCUGCCCGGGCCGCGCGCAGUCAUGGCGGAUUCACCCCGAGUCCCGCGGCACGGCGGCCGGGACGCGGCGCCCGCGCUGCCCCGGGCCCGGUCGACGGAGGCCUGGAAGAGACACAUCGUGGGCCAGCUGAAGCACCGGGACCGGAGCCAGCACGACCGGUACCAGGACCUGAUCCGCUUCUACAAUCGGUUGCUGGAGAAAACCCGGCUGACCAAAGGAAUCCUGAGCGGCUCCCCCAGACGUCCUGCAGACGUCUCCUCUGACGGCCGCUCCGUCCCGUCUCUGCGUCAGCAGAACGAGCAGCUGAGGAAGACUUCAGGAGAGCUGGCCUAUCAGGUGCUGGAGCUGCAGCAGCAGACCAGGACCAGAGAACUUCUUCUGGAGGAGCAGCAGUACAGGUGAGGCCCCUAUGAGGUCACACGCUGCUAUACUACAUGUAGUAUAGUAGGGCAUAUACUAGUAUAUACUACAUGUAGUAUAGCAGGGCAUAUAC
Molecule: long non-coding RNA, 911 nt
Organism: Gasterosteus aculeatus (three-spined stickleback)
Lineage: Eukaryota; Metazoa; Chordata; Actinopteri; Perciformes; Gasterosteidae
Source: Ensembl